GGAGAAGCGGCACUAGGAGCUGCCCACAGCCAGUAGAGCCUUGCAGGAGGCCCCGCUACCCCGAGAACAUCAGACUGGUUGGGACCAGAUGAAACAAGCACCUCAGAGGCGGGGGGCUCGGACCAGGCUUCCACAUGGCAGCAUGAGAGGGACUGUGGCUUAGGCUGAAAGUGGUGCAGGCACUGCAAGGAGGCCGGAUGGGAAGCAGCGACAGGCACUGCCUGAGAAAGAGGAGCGGGUGGCCGGGUUGUGAGGUGGCAGGAGGGGCAAAGGCAGCUUUGAACACAAGUGGACAAGAAGAAAAGUUGAGGAAUGUCAAGCCAAGGGGGAGAAAGAAGAGAAGUCACUGAAGAUGGAGGCAAAGGAAAGGGACUCUGGGCACAGUAACCUGCCUGUAAUCAGGCCUCCGGUUAUCUAAUUACACUGCAUGGGGAUCUUGAGCAUUUUAAUCCCUUGAACAGCGUGACCCCCCUGUAAGCAGAGUCCAGGUCUUAUGCCUUUUCCCUUUCCUUUUGGAGGAGAGGAACAUGGGUCAAGUUUAACAUUGUGGGUCAAGUGACCUAUUGCAAUCAGCUCUCUUUCUGUUCUGGGAACUCCCCCUUUGUUUUGUAUGUAUGUGUAGGUGAAUGAAUGUGAUACGAAUGGGUGUGAACAUAUAUAUUUAUAUAUUUAUUUCUUUAUUUUCAGUUCUUUCAGUUAAAUCACUGCAGUGUUUUUUAUUUAUUCUCAGAAUUGGAAAAAGAGCUCAAUGUGUAUUAUUAUAUUUAUCCUCCUCCUCCCCACAAAAGGAAAGAGUAAAAGCUCAGAUAGCAUGUUUUACUGCACAGGAUAAUCGCUCUCCAUUUCUGAUUUCUUUAGGUUCAGUUCCUAUUAGUGGGCUGAUGGCAAAGAUUGACCUUUAAUAAGGGUGAUUUAGGUCAAAGGAAAUACAGGAUCUCCUAGUACCAGGGCAACUUCACCACUAUCUAUCGAGGGUUUUGGUCUCUCCCCUUCAUUAUUUUGACACCAUGCCACAUCAGCAGGUUAAUAGGAGUCAUGAUUUUCUAAUUACGGGAGAGACUAAAUCUAUCUGUCUUCUGGGAGAUAUCGAUCUCUGUGGAAACCUAAGAAGACUGACCGCCCUGUAAGCUGGGUCUCAGUCUGUGCCAUUGUGUCCUUGGACAUUCUGUUCUGUUAUCUGGCUAGUGUGAAUGACUGCCUGUAAUCAGGGUGCCAGUCACCUCCCCCUAAAUGUGGAGGGCCACUGAGCUCUUUUUUUAAUUGAAUAAUGUGACCGCCUGUAACUCGGGUCCGGGUCUCUGCCCUCUUGCUCAUUUGGCUUUACGCCGUCCUCUGCCCCAUUAGUCAGCGUGACAACCCUGUACAUAGGAUCCAUGUCACAAGGCUCUCCUGAAUGGGACAUAUCGAGCUCUUUGGUACUUUCACAGCUGGACCUUCCUGUAAUUCAGGUUAUGGUCUCUCCUCUUUGGCUAAUGCCAGUGACCACCCUGUAAUGAGGGGACAGGUUGCAUCUCGCUUUUGAAAUCUGGGGGAUUAGAAUCAUUUCCGUAACAUGGGCAGCUUGACCUCCCUGUAACUAGGGUUUGCGUCUCUGAGGCCCUUUGACUCUCUUGGCCUCGUGCUGUCUUUACAGCCUGCUGCGAAGGACCGCCCUGUCAUCAGGGAUCGGGUCUUUGCUCUCUAGUCUCUUGGCACUAGGCCAAAUGCAGCCACUGCCCUGAAUGAGCGCUCUGUAAACAGGGUACAGGUCUCAUCAGCUACUAUUUAUGGUGCCUCCAUAAAACUGUGUCCAGAGUUCCGGCCCUUCAAGCAGCGCUUCCAACUUGCCUGGAAUUCUGCAGCCAAGUCUCCCGCAUUUUACUCCCUUCUUGGACUCUUGGAGACCUGACAUGCUAUUGGUGGCACCAUGAAGCACAAGUGGAGAAGAAAGAAGUGUCAGGAAUGCCAUACACAGAGAAGAAAAGAAGAUGGAGGAAAAGGAAAGGAACUCUGGGCACAGUACUCUCCCUCAGAUCAGCCUCAGGUCAUGUAAUUAGACUGUAUGGAAAUCUCGAGCCUUUUAAUACCUGUAGCAGCGUGACCGCCCUGUAAGCUGGGUCCCGGUCUGUGCCAUUGUGUAUUUGGACAUUCUGCUCCGUGAUCUGGCUAGUGUGAGUGACUGCCCUGUAAUCAGGGUGCCAGUCACCUCCCCCUAAAUGUGGACAGGCAUUGAGCUCUUUCUUUAAUUAAGCAAUGUGACCGCCCUGUAACUAGGGUCCGAGUCUCUGCCCACUUGCUCAUUUGGCAUUACGCCGUGCUCUGCCCCACUAGUCAGCGUGACAACCCUGUAAUUAGGGUCCAUGUCACAAGUCUUACUAGAAUGGGACAUAUCGAGCUCUUUGGUACUUUCACAGCUGGACCUUCCUGUAAUUCAGGUUAUGGUCUCUCCUCUUUGGCUAAUGCCAGUGACCACCCUGUAAUGAGGGGACAGGUUGCAUCUCGCUUUUGAAAUCUGGGGGAUUAGAAUCAUUUCCAUAACAUGGGCAGCUUGACCUCCCACUAACUAGGGUUUGCGUCAUCGUGGCCCUUUGGGUCUCCGUUAGCUGGUUAGUGGGAGAGACUGCCCUGUAAUCAGGGUGCCAGUCACCUCCCCCUAAAUGUGGAGGGGCACUGAGCUCUUUGUUAAACUGAGCAAUGUGACCGCACUGUAACUAGGGCCCGGGUCUCUGCCCACUUGCUCAUUUGGCUUUAUGCCGUGCUCUGCCCCAUUAGUCAGCGUGACAACCCUGUAAUUAGGGUCCAUGUCACAAGUCUCACUAGAAUGGGACAUAUCGAGCUCUUUGGUACUUUCACAGCUUGACCUUCCUGUAAUUCAGGUUAUGGUCUCUCCUCUUUGGCUAAUGCCAGCGACCACCCUGUACUGAGGGGACAGGUUGCAUCUCGCUUUUGAAAUCUGGGGGAUUAGAAUCAUUUCCGUAACAUGGGCAGCUUGACCUCCCUGUAACUAGGGUUUGCGUCUCUGAGGCCCUUUGACUCUCUUGGCCUCGUGCUGUCUUUACAGCCUGCUGCGAAGGACCGCCCUGUCAUCGGGGAUCGGGUCUUUGCUCUCUAGUCUCUUGGCACUAGGCCAAAUGCAGCCACUGCCCUGAAUGAGCACCCUGUAAACAGGGUACAGAUCUCAUGAGCUACUAUUUAUGGUGCCUCCAUAAAACUGUGUCCAGAGUUACGGCCCUUCAAGCAGCGCUUCCAACUUGCCUGGAAUUCUGCAGCCAAGUCUCCCGCUUUUUACUCCCUUCUUGGACUCUUGGAGACCUGACAUGCUAUUGGUGGCACCAUGAAGCACAAGUGGAGAAGAAAGAAGUGUCAGGAAUGCCAUACACAGAGAAGAAAAGAAGAUGCAGGAAAAGGAAAGGAACUCUGGGCACAGUACUCUCCCUCAGAUCAGCCUCAGGUCAUGUAAUUAGACUGUAUGGGAAUCUCGAGCCUUUUAAUACCUGGAGCAGCGUGACCGCCCUGUAAGCUGGGUCCCGGUCUGUGCCAUUGUGUAUUUGGAAAUUCUGCUCCGUGAUCUGGCUAGUGUGAGUGACUGCCCUGUAAUCAGGGUGCCAGUCACCUCCCCCUAAAUGUGGACGGGCAUUGAGCUCUUUCUUUAAUUAAGCAAUGUGACCGCCUUGUAACUAGGGUCCGAGUCUCUGCCCACUUGCUCAUUUGGCAUUACGCCGUGCUCUGCCCCACUAGUCAGCGUGACAACCCUGUAAAUAGGGUCCAUGUCACAAGGCUCUCCUGAAUGGGACAUAUCGAGCUCUUUGGUACUUUCACAGCUGGACCUUCCUGUAAUUCAGGUUAUGGUCUCUCCUCUUUGGCUAAUGCCAGUGACCACCCUGUAAUGAGGGGACAGGUUGCAUCUCGCUUUUGAAAUCUGGGGGAUUAGAAUCAUUUCCAUAACAUGGGCAGCUUGACCUCCCACUAACUAGGGUUUGCGUCAUCGUGGCCCUUUGGGUCUCCGUUAGCUGGUUAGUGGGAGAGACUGCCCUGUAAUCAGGGUGCCAGUCACCUCCCCCUAAAUGUGGAGGGGCACUGAGCUCUUUGUUAAACUGAGCAAUGUGACCACCCUGUAACUAGGGCCCGGGUCUCUGCCCACUUGCUCAUUUGGCUUUAUGCCGUGCUCUGCCCCAUUAGUCAGCGUGACAACCCUGUAAUUAGGGUCCAUGUUACAAGACUCACUGGAAUGGGACAUAUCGAGCUCUUUGGUACUUUCACAGCUUGACCUUCCUGUAAUUCAGGUUAUGGUCUCUCCUCUUUGGCUAAUGCCAGCGACCACCCUGUACUGAGGGGACAGGUUGCAUCUCGCUUUUGAAAUCUGGGGGAUUAGAAUCAUUUCCGUAAUAUGGGCAGCUUGACCUCCCUGUAACUAGGGUUUGCGUCUCUGAGGCCCUUUGACUCUCUUGGCCUCGUGCUGUCUUUACAGCCUGCUGCGAAGGACCGCCCUGUCAUCAGGGAUCGGGUCUUUGCUCCCUAGUCUCUUGGCACUAGGCCAAAUGCAGCCACUGCCCUGAAUGACCGCCCUGUAAACAGGGUACAGGUCUCAUCAGCUACUAUUUAUGGUGCCUCCAUAAAACUGUGUCCAGAGUUCCGGCCCUUCAAGCAGCGCUUCCAACUUGCCUGGAAUUCUGCAGCCAAGUCUCCCGCUUUUUACUCCCUUCUUGGACUCUUGGAGACCUGACAUGCUAUUGGUGGCACCAUGAAGCAAAAGUGGAGAAGAGAGAAGUGUCAGGAAUGCCAUACACAGAGGAGAAAAGAAGAUGGAGGAAAAGGAAAGGAACUCUGGGCACAGUGCCCUCCCUCAAAUCAGCCUCAGGUCAUGUAAUUAGACGGUAUGGGAAUCUCGAGCCUUCUAAUACCUUGAGCAGCCUGACCGCCCUGUAAGCUGGGACUCGGUCUGUGCCAUUGUGUAUUUGGACAUUCUGCUCCGUGAUCUGGCUAGUGUGAGUGACUGCCCUGUAAUCAGGGUGCCAGUCACCUCCCCCUAAAUGUGGACAGGCAUUGAGCUCUUUCUUUAAUUAAGCAAUGUGACCGCCCUGUAACUAGGGUCCGAGUCUCUGCCCACUUGCUCAUUUGGCAUUACGCCGUGCUCUGCCCCACUAGUCAGCGUGACAACCCUGUAAAUAGGGUCCAUGUCACAAGGCUCUCCUGAAUGGGACAUAUCGAGCUCUUUGGUACUUUCACAGCUGGACCUUCCUGUAAUUCAGGUUAUGGUCUCUCCUCUUUGGCUAAUGCCAGUGACCACCCUGUAAUGAGGGGACAGGUUGCAUCUCGCUUUUGAAAUCUGGGGGAUUAGAAUCAUUUCCAUAACAUGGGCAGCUUGACCUCCCACUAACUAGGGUUUGCGUCAUCGUGGCCCUUUGGGUCUCCGUUAGCUGGUUAGUGGGAGAGACUGCCCUGUAAUCAGGGUGCCAGUCACCUCCCCCUAAAUGUGGAGGGGCACUGAGCUCUUUGUUAAACUGAGCAAUGUGACCACCCUGUAACUAGGACCCGGGUCUCUGCCCACUUGCUCAUUUGGCUUUAUGCCGUGCUCUGCCCCAUUAGUCAGCGUGACAACCCUGUAAUUAGGGUCCAUGUUACAAGACUCACUAGAAUGGGACAUAUCGAGCUCUUUGGUACUUUCACAGAUUGACCUUCCUGUAAUUCAGGUUAUGGUCUCUCCUCUUUGGCUAAUGCCAGCGACCACCCUGUACUGAGGGGACAGGUUGCAUCUCGCUUUUGAAAUCUGGGGGAUUAGAAUCAUUUCCGUAACAUGGGCAGCUUGACCUCCCUGUAACUAGGGUUUGCGUCUCUGAGGCCCUUUGACUCUCUUGGCCUCGUGCUGUCUUUACAGCCUGCUGCGAAGGACCGCCCUGUCAUCAGGGAUCGGGUCUUUGCCCUCUAGUCUCUAGGCACUAGGCCAAAUGCAGCCACUGCCCUGAAUGAGCACCCUGUAAACAGGGUACAGGUCUCAUCAGCUACUAUUUAUGGUGCCUCCAUAAAACUGUGUCCAGAGUUCCGGCCCUUCAAGCAGCGCUUGCAACGUGCCUGGAAUUCUGCAGCCAAGUCUCCCGCUUUUUACUCCCUUCUUGGACUCUUGGAGACCUGACAUGCUAUUGGUGGCAUCUUGAAGCACAAGUGGAGAAGAAGCAAGUGUCAGUACUAAGGCAUAACUGUGAAUCUGAAAUUCAGAGAUCUUCAAUAUACAAGUUCUAUAGAAUGAUUGCUUCCUAUUAUUAUUAAGUCAUUAUUUCCUACUGGAUGUGCAAAGAUGUGACUGAAGGGAAGGCAUACAUUUGUAUUCUCCACUCACCCACAAUUCUGUCCCCCAAACUCCUCAAAAAAAGUUAAGGUUCACAAAAUUAACAUUUACUCCAGGUAACGCCUAACUUGUGUAUUUCUCACACAUUUCUAUAAAGGAACCAAACAAAACUAAAUGUUCUGGCAUCUGGCAGUUACUUCCUGCACUUCACAACUUUCAAACACCUACUCUACUUAAACGGUCUCACCAACCAAAGUGUACCACACAAUCAAUAUUAACUUUGCACCUAUUGUGUCAGAAGUUAGAGUGUUUUUAGUAGUUGUGUCCAUUGGUGGACAUGGCAAUAGUGGUGUUUUAAUAGUCUUUUAUGCUUAUUGAAUUCAGAGGAUGAUGAUGUGGAUGUUUUAGGUAGGUAUUUUUCUGUUAAGUCUUGGUAUUUGGGUAGAGGUGCAGUAUUUUGUGAUUAUGACUGUUUUUCUUGUAUUGGUUUAGUGUGAAUUGUUGGCAAUUUUAGAUGUUUUUGUAUACGUACAUAAGUAGAUGUAUUUAGAGGGCAAAGCUGAAGUUGCCUGUUUGGUGCAAUUUGACUGGUGUGAAAGUUAAUUUCGGGUAGGUGUUUGAAAGCCCUGAGCUUUGAAUUUGUAGCUCAACAGGGAUGCAAGACCCACCUGGCUACCUCAAUUCUUACUUUCAUUCCUAAUUCCAAAAUCUUGGAUGAAGCUGACCAUAUAAAGAAGAAUAAAGAUAUCUCCAGAGACUUUCAAGAGGGUAGCAUGUAUGCAGCUUAGGGGAUCCCUUAAACCUUAUUGAGCUUUUCAAAGCGCAAUAAUUGUGGAAAACUUCUACUUCUGCCACUUAAGUGUUGAACAAUAACCUGUAUUAAAGGAUUUACACUGGUAGUUAAUUCUGUUCUGUAUAAAGAUGAUUUAGCUAAAAUAACCACUUUAUGAUGUGUGAAAUGAAUUAACUAGGUCUGAUUAUACCUAUUUGAUAAAAGUUGGACUACUCCAUAUUAAAUGCAUGGAUUGAACUUUGAUUGUCAUAUCACAUUGCUUUGCUUUCUGUAACUUCUUA
Mauremys reevesii (Reeves's turtle) is the source of this 7336-nucleotide long non-coding RNA. RefSeq lists it as uncharacterized. The record is from RefSeq and is a predicted model, not a curated record. Lineage: Eukaryota; Metazoa; Chordata; Testudines; Geoemydidae. The transcript is spliced from 6 exons.